RNAcentral lists this small nuclear RNA (107 nucleotides) under Carlito syrichta (Philippine tarsier). Lineage: Eukaryota; Metazoa; Chordata; Mammalia; Primates; Tarsiidae. The record is from RNAcentral.
GUGCUCUCUUCGGCAGCCUAUGUACUAAAUUUGGAAUGAUACAGAGAAGAUUGGCAUAGACCCUGUGCAAGGAUGAUGUGCAGAUUUGUGAAAUCUUCCAUAUUAAA